This 1265-nucleotide unclassified non-coding RNA is filed under the name Hevea brasiliensis (rubber tree). Lineage: Eukaryota; Viridiplantae; Streptophyta; Magnoliopsida; Malpighiales; Euphorbiaceae. The record is from RNAcentral.
GCAAGAUUUUCCUCAAUCAUUUCUCAUAUUGACUAUUGAAUCUCUGGCUAAAAUUAUGGUUCAUUAUCAGCAGUAUUGUCAAGUGAGUAAAGAGGAAUUGUUUCCUCAGGGAGAAAUGAUGGAGAAGAAGCAGAAGAAGUUUCUUACUGUGGCCCCGUUCGAGUGUGCCUGGCCUAAUGAUCUGAGAUUUAGAGAAGCAGGGAGGGGUUGUGUAGCUUUUGAUGCUUUCGCGCAUAAUGAUGUAACAGUUGUUUUUCGGGAGCAGGUAGGGAGUCAGCACUAUCACUACAAAAGGGAUAACUGUCCUCACUAUACUGUAAUCAUUGGUAGUCAUAGGAACAAGAGAUUGAAAAUCGAGGUUGAUGGUAAAACGGUGGUGGACGCUGCUGGUGUCGGUCUUUGUUGUUCUUCAGCAUUUCAAAGCUACUGGAUUAGUAUCUAUGAUGGAUUAAUUAGCAUUGGCAAGGGAAGGUAUCCUUUCCAGAAUCUUUGCUUUCAGUGGCUUGAUUCAAAUCCCAAUUGUACCGUUCAGUACAUUGGUCUUAGCAGUUGGGAUAAACAUGUUGGCUACAGGAAUGUUAAUGUACUGCCUGCCACACCAAAUCAUUUAUCUUUGUGGAAACAUGUGGAUUUUGUUGAGCAUGAUUUUGGAGAGGAUGAUUUAGAACAAGAGUUAGAAGAUGGAAUUGCUAAUUAUGAAAGUUGGGGUCUUGGAAAGUUUCUUGAGAAUUGGGAGUUAUCGGAUAUGUUUUUCAUUGUUGGAAAGGAAGAAAGGGUUGUUCCAGCUCAUAAGCUAGUUUUAGAGGCAUGUGGGGAUUUUUGUCUUAGUUCAUCAGUUGAAGAAGUUGUUCACCUGCCAGACAUAAGUUAUUCUGUUCUUCAUGCACUUCUUCAGUACAUCUACACUGGACAUACUCAGAUUUUGGAGUCUGAUCUCUGCUCAUUGAAGUCUUUGAGCUUACAAUAUAAAGUGAUGUCAUUGGUGAGGCAAUGUGAAGAGAUCCUUGAGCGAAUUAUGUCUGAUAAGCAACUCGUUGACUCAACUCAGCUUGUUGACAUAUUUUAUCCAAGCUGGCUUCAAUGCAGCAAAACUUUUCCUUAUGGGUUGCCAAUUAAUAGAGAAAGGCUUGAACGGUUCCUCUCGACUGGAGAGUAUAGUGAUCUAGACCUUUAUGUUGGAGUUCAUGAUAUUGUUUUGCGAUCACAUAAAGUAAUCCUUGGGUCAUGGAGUACUCCUUUCACAAAGAUGUUUACAAAUGGAAUGA